GUUACCUGCCCGGCCCCUCCAUUACAGUUGCCUGCCAGUCUUCUUCCCCAAUCAUGCCAAACCGAUUGGUCCAAUAUUGUUCAAAACCUGAUGGAAAUGCGGUGUCAUCGUAGUUUGGAGUAUGUGCAGAGCACUCGGGAUAACAAGCAGUUUAUUUCUUCGAUGAGACUGAAUUGAAAGGGAGCAGACACUGUUGUGAGCAUGAUGAUCACUUCUUCAAGUACCAUGGCUUGGAGAUAAAAAGCCAAAAUUGGCACUUUGGUCUUAGCAGCAAACAGGCCUGGCUUUGUGCGGUGCAGGUUUGCUGCAUCGGUGAUGGUUUAGUUUACCUGAUGAAAACCAGAGCAGUUGUGUACCCUGAACUCCUUUCCGAAUUCUUCAUCAAGGGGAUGGAUCUUGAAUGGCAGUGGAAUUAACAUGACAAGAUCAGAGAAUACAGCAGAUUAGACAUUGAAAAAGACAGUGUGCCCUAGACAGUCUCAACCAAAGCAUUGAACAAACUGUACAACCUGUUAAUUAACUUUUUAGAGCUGUUUGUUUGGACUAGUGUUUGUCAUUCAGAAAUAAGUAAUAACAUUAUUUCUCAGUAUAAGAAAUCUGCAGGAAUUAGAAGCUGAUAUUUACUGUAACUAUAUAAACAAACCUCUUAGGGGUUUAGCCAGGUUAAAGAAAGACAAGGAGCUACAGAAAAGAGACAGGUUUCCAUGUUUCAAUAGGACACCCUUCAUUUAUCUGUGAAGAAUUUUAACAUUUUGAAUGUUA
This is a long non-coding RNA of Mya arenaria, 762 nucleotides long. RefSeq lists it as uncharacterized. The record is from RefSeq and is a predicted model, not a curated record. Lineage: Eukaryota; Metazoa; Mollusca; Bivalvia; Myida; Myidae. The transcript is spliced from 3 exons.